AACAAUAAAAGAGACUUUAAAAUAAAAGAGCGUAAUAGCAAAAACGAAUAAUAUGUGUACAACCAACACACUGUAAAACUAUUCCUACAAACUGGUGCAAUAAGUACAUGAGCAACUAGAAUACUACAUAUAAGGUCUGAAAUAAAAUACAAAACUGUCCGGCACAAAGUAAACAACAACAAAGAUAGGAAGGGGACUUCAGAGUCUGUGAACGCCUAACACUAACUCGAGUCUACUGGAAGGAAGGGUCCGAGCAAUCAUCGCUGAACACCGCUGGGACCAACACCGGGAUCUGCACGAGAAGUGUAAAAUUAUAGUAUGAGUACAACCGACCCUAUAUACUCUGUAACUGCCGAGCCUGACCUCGACGAAGUAGUGAGGCUAUGACAAGACACACACUAUAAACCGAUACGAGUAAUAAGCAGAAAAGCAAAAACGAAAUAGAGAAACAAAUAACUACUUGCUAAACGGAAUAAGAAAUAAAUAAUAGAGGGCUCCAGCAUAUCAUCCCAAUCACAGUCUUACAACACAAUACAAUAGAGGAAUCUAACAACCAAGAAUAACCACAAUACAUCAUCUUCGUUGCGACACGCAACUCGAUCCCCCCUCCCCCCUAUAUAUAUAUAUAUAUAUGGCGUGCAACCCUAUCCAUAUAUACAUAUAAUUUUGUCGCGGUGGUGUAAUCCGAUCCACACAUACAUAUAAUAUUGUUGCAAGCUUGCAACCCGAUCAACAUAUAACAUCCAACUAUGACGAAUCUCAAAAUGUAACAUAAAAAGGAACUAAAAUGCAUAAAUCCUCUAAGAUAAUCCAAUACAACAUAGUAAAGUGAAAUAGAAGCAAGUAUAAAUAAAUAAGCAAGUGAAAGCAAGAGAUAGGUAACAUGUAAGAGCAUAUAACAAGUAAGGGUGGAGGAUAAGUAAAGGCAUGAUUAAGUGGAAGCAUGUAACAAUUAAAGACAUGUAAGAAGUGAAUGCAUAUAUUUAACAAGUAAGGACAUUGUUGACGGCCAAUUUUGACCCUCCCUUUUUAAAUUAAUUUAUUCAUACUUAAUAAUUUACAAUAAAUAUUUUUAAAGUGUUCUCUAGUAAUAAAAACCUAUUUUUACAAAUUAAUUAAGUAUUAGUUUUAAAAUUAAUCACGUAGUAUUAAUAUUAUGUAAUUAUGAAUAUAUUUGCUAUUUUAAUAUUAUUAAGAUAACUUUUUUAUAUACAUUACAUAGGUUCUAUAGUUAAUUUAAUAAAUUACUCUUUAAUUUCUAGUUAAUUAGACUACUAUGUUAAAAAUUUGAAAUCAGUGCUACAAUUUAGAAAAUAAAGUAUUUUUAUAAAUAAAUAAUUAAAAUAAUUACUUGUAUAUAUAAUAAUUAUAAUUUUAUCACAUUUUAUUAAAUAUUAUUAAGUUUAUUUAAAUUAAUUUCUAAAAGGGAUUAAAGACAAAAUGCUACAAUUGCAAUUCUCAAUUAAAUGCAAAAUGACCAUCUUUUAAAUUAUUUUUGGCCUAAACGUGCAAGCCCAAUCCAAAACAUACCCAGUCCAAAUACCCCAUCUCCAUUCCAAUGUGUCUAUCGAGGCCACUCUCUUAGAGCCAAUGAGCUCGCGCCACGUCACCUCUCCAUAACACUCACACAAGAAACACAGUGAAUCCAAGCCGUUUGUUCCUUAAAUCAACGGUUCACGUUUUAUCUCCAAUUUUCUUUUGAUUUUAAACACCCAUCCCAGAGAUCUCAUCCCUACCGUCCAAAAUCUCCUAAUCUAAGGGACACGAAAAAUCCUCCCUAAAUAUCCUAAUUGACCAAAUUAUCUAGGCCAUUGAUCUAAUGAUCCAACGACCCAGGUUCUAUCUCUCAACAUUAACCCACGAGACCAAUCCCAAUCCCCCCAAACCCUAAUCAUUCACUCAAAGACCUGUUCGUCUCUCUUUCCCUUUGCUCUCUCUUUUCUCUCAUCUCCAUCAGCCAUCAAUCUCUAAAACUUUGCACAGAUUUGUGCAAGGUCACUCGAAAUCACUCAGAAUCAUCUCUUCUAUCUCUCUAUCCGUGAAUCCAACCGCUAUUUCCUAUCUCAACACUCAAAAUUCAAAACCCAAUUCUAGAACCCUAAGCUCAGAACAUCGCUGGCCUAAUUUCUCCUUCGUUCUUUCAAAUCCAACUUAUAGAUUCAUCUGCGGGUUUCAGUUUAAUCAACUUAUGUUACGAAGCCAGUUGAUUUCAGUUUCUAUUUUUGUUGAUUAAAUUCGAAACCCCUAAUCUGAAACCCUAGACUCAAAGAUGAACUUCAAAUCUCCAGAUUUCCUUUAUGUUCUGUUAAAUUAGAGCAUGCAAAAGCACAUUUCAUAGCCUCAUCAUGAUUAAUUGAAGUGCAGAGGUCAAAUUCAAUGACCUCUGGACAUUGGAGCUUUGACCGAUGGGUUUUGCCUUCAACGGUCAACCUUCUUCACUUAGGUAAGUUUGUUCAUAAUUUUCCCCCUCUGUCUCUCAAAUGUUUCACUCGAUUUUGCUAUCAUCAUCAAUUUGUUGUCACUUUCCACUCAUGAUUUUGAAUCCAUUGAAACCCUAGAGCCUUAAUGGCACUAUAAAUAAGGCCUUUAAUGUUCUCACCUAACAUCAUCUACACAUCAUCCACAAAACCACCUAACAUCAUCUACACAACCACUUAACACUGAAAAGAAUACACCAAGAACACUUAGCAAAAGCAAAAAUCAGUAUAGUAGUUGUAGAGUUUUUUCGACUAAGCUCUUACUCGAAUUCUGACUUUGCUCCGAGGUAUUCAUUUGGUUGAAGUCUCUGAGUUCUAUUUGGCAUGCUUCCCUACGAAAGGUCAGUGCACCUUCACCCUCUUCUCUUCUAAUUGUUUUACUUGAAUGCUAUGUACAUGCUGUUGUUUUUUCUAUUAACUGUAUUAGCUUAUAAUAUUUGUCAUUAGCCUAUAAAGUGUUAUCCCAGUUCAUAUUAAAGUGUUAUUGAUCUGUGGUCAUUCCUCAUGUUUUCAGAAUCUCUUAAAUUGGUAUUGACUAAACUGUUACAUGACUUUAAUGACUUGCAUCUCUGAGCCUAAACAGUCUAUAUGAUUAAGUUUCCUUUAUGAGCUUUAAUAACUUUCAUAUAGCUAAUAUGAUUAAACUCCCUUAAUGUGCUCUAAUGACUCCCGUGCUUGUUCAAACUUUAGGGUUUCUGUCAAUAGUUCUACUAUGACGUUAUUAUGAUCUUCAUCUCUAUACACUAUUUUCCUGCAUCAUGUUGUCUUAUGGUCGAGAACACUGUCUGAUAUUCCUCAUUAGGACAAAACCUGAGAGUUCAUACUUUACAUCCUUCACCAUUUAACUGAAGUUUGAGAAAUACAAGUGUUUUAAAUGCUCUCUUCCUUUAUAUAUGUGGAUGUUAAUUCUAAGAACAACUCUCUGAGUCUUCUUUAUUAUGUUCAUGUCUGAUUGAUUGGCUGUAGAUAUAUGAGAUAGUUUUACAAACCUGAACUCUUAGGAGUACCAAUAAUCCUUCUGUACAUACUCUUUAAGAUUAAGUUACCCCUUUUUCAUAACAAUAGGUCAUGGUUUUUGUUUGUUACAGUUGAAUAGUAAUUGUUGUUAAUCUGAACAUAUUUGUCUCAUAUUUAGAUAAAAAAUCUCAAUCUGUAUGUGUUAAAUAGAUAUUCCAAAUGUUCUUGUUAUGUUGGAGUUACUAUUUGAGAAGGUGAUUUAAGUAUGGGAUGUGUGUUAAUAUGUUAUGACUUGAAAACGCGAUUCUAAUGAAAGCUAUCAUAUCGAAUUGUGUAAGAAAUCACAUGUGCCUAAGACCUUUAAUUGUUCAAAUAUGUACUUAGAGUCUUGAAUAGAAAUGUUUUUUGUUGAUGAUCCGUGAUGAUGUUUGAAAGUGAAACAGUAAGUAUAGAAUAUGAAAUACGGCCAACGUGCCAAAAAUGAUAUUACACUUUCUACUAUUAAUGCCAAUGAAACAGAGAGGCGAGAACAAGAUGUUGAAAUGAGUUGUGAAUCCUUUUAAUAGUAAAUGCUUUGGGAGUAUCGUUUAGUCACCGAGGAAGGGUAGGUCAAAAUAACCUAACCUUGAAACUACACAUGCCGGUGUAGGAGUGAUUGAGGGGUAAAUCCCCGUGUUAAUGUGAUGAGGUUGUUUCCCCUUAUAUGGGAUGGGAUUGAUGUGUUGAUAUGUCUUCCCUUAAAUGGGAUGAGAUUAUUGCUAGCGAGGUGUGAUAUGAUGUCAAUCCACACGGCAUUGUGGUGAGACGGCUUAGCCAAUCGAGCUGAGAUCGGACGUCAUGCCGCGCACAUAGUGGUAUUAUGAGUGGAUGUCUCGGGGUGAUACGACUUAACUGAUCGGGCUGAGAUCGGACUCCCUUUAAAAAUACGGUGGUGUAUCGGUUCUAAAGAUAUCCCAACUUAAAAAGAUUGAAACUUACUUGAAAUUAUGUUUCCUCUAACUUGACACCUUGAUGCGGUUUGAAUCUCUUAAUGAUUUCAUGUUUCCUUCUCCAUUUAGCGUUAAUUGUUAUAAUGAGAGGGUGUUUAGUUUUACAUACUAGUACUAUUCCAUAUGUACUAAUGUCCCUUUUGCCAGGGGCGCUGCAUCUUUAAUGGAUGCAUGUGGUUCCAUAGCAGGUGAUAUUGAUCAGUGACAACAACACACCCUCUCAUUAGCUGACUUGGUGAGCCCCACUUCAUUCCGGGGUCCUGUAUCUUUUGUCCUUUGUACAUUGCAUUUUGAGGUAUAGCGGAGGCCUUGUUGCUGGUACUGUCUUAGCACUCUUUUGUUUCUGUUAGAGGCUCUGUAGACAUAGUGUGAGUUGUAUAUUAAUUUGGGAAGGUUGAACUAAAAAUAUUGUAAUCAUAUCAUCUGUUCCGCUUGAACUAUGAUUGUAUAGUGUACUAUUUUGGGAACUUGUUAAUGAUGUAACUUAUGGAAAUGAACCGGUGUUGUACACAUGGCCCCUUACCGUCUAAUUAAUGAAAUAUAUUUAUCUCUUUAUUCAUGGGUGAGUUGGGUAGACGAUAUUGUGCAGGCUUUCUCGAACGGGGCAACUCUGUUGAGCGCCGGUCGCGCUCCCCAAGGUCGGGGCGUGACACUUACCUCCACCCGACGAGAUUAAAUCAAUCAACAACAGCCUUUCCGAUCAAUCCAACACCAAACGACUCAAAUCUAGUCAAACAUGUGAGCCAAUACAAGCUUUAGGAAUUGAUUCCAUAUUAAAAGGAUUCAAUCUUUAAACCAUAUAAAAAAUUCAAUAAAAAGUCAACCUUGGGCCUUUAUAGAUAUAGUUCAUCCAAAACCUCACUAUUCCAAAUAUAUGAUUAGAUUCUAAAACCAAGUCCAAAUCGACUCCCAAAUUCUCAAUUUGCACUCUCUAAAAUUAUAAACAAAACCCUUAAAUUUCUCUUUACAAUUCCUUGAUCUAAAUAUAAUAAUCCACGAGGAAAUAGGAUAUAUAAUCAAAUCAAGUAAAAAUCACUUACCCUCAAAUUAGUGAUGAAAAUUUCCCCAAAAAUCGCCUCUCCCAAGCUCCAAAACCCAAAAUAGUAGAAAAUGAGCUAAACCCUCGAAUAUAAUGUCAUGGGCUGCUUUCCAGGCAUGCCCCAUGACCCCUUAGAUGCACCCCAUGUGGAAUGACCCAACCAGUUAUUUUUACUUUUAGAACCCUGUUUUCCUAAAUAAAAUGACAUGUAUGUGCUUUUAUAAAUUUAUGACUUGCGGGGAUGGUUGGUUCGGGAUUUGAAAGUGUUCGGGUUAAAAUCGAAACACUUGGUUCCUUAAGUUGGCCUUAAAAUACUAAGUUUGACUCGGUCAAUAUUUUGAGAAAAUGACCCCGGAAUAGAAUUUUGAUGAUUCCAACAGCUCUAUAUGGUGAUUUUGGACUUAGGAGCGUGUUCGGAAUUUUAUUCGGAAGUCCGUAGUUAAAUUAGGCUUGAAAUGGCUAAAAUAGGAAUUUAAGUUUGAAAGUUUGACCGGGGAGUUGACUUUUUGAUAUCAGGGUCGUAAUCCAGUUUCGAAAGUUUUCAUAGCUCUGUUAUGUCAUUUAUGACUUGCAUUCAAAAUUUGAGUUCAAUCGGACUUGAUUUGAUAUGUUCUUGCGUCGUUUGUAGAAAUUGAAAGUUUCAAAGUUUAUUAGGAUUGAAUCUAUAUGUGAUUCAUGUUUUUUAGUGUUGUUGGAUGUUAUUUGAAGGCUCGACUAAAUUCGUAUGAUGUAUUAGGACUUGUUGGUAUAACUGGUUGAGGUUCCGAGGGUCUCGAGCGUGUUCCGGAUGGUUAAUGGAUCAUUUUUGGCCUUUGUGAGAUAGCUGAUAUCUGCUGCUGCAAUUUUUCUGAUUUCCUCUUUCGCGUUCGCGGGAGGAGCCUCGCGUUCACGAAAAGUUUUUUGAGCUGGUGAAUUUUUGAUCUACGCGUUUGCGGAGGAGAGGACGCGAAUGCGAAGGGUAGGGUAGUGUGUGCAUCGCGAACGCGUGGGUGGUGUCGCGUUCGCGAAGGAGUGUGAGGCAGUUGGGAACCCCAGUCUUUUGUUCUACGCGUUCGCGAGGUAAGGGACGUGUUCGCGAAGGUCUAAGUUUCCAAAGCUUCACGUUCGCGAAGCGUAGGUCGCGUUUGCGAAGAGGAUGGGCAGCACAUUUUUGUGCUUCGCGAACGUGAGGCAAGGGUCACGUUCGCGAAGAAGAAACCACUGGACAGAAUGUUUAAGUUCAGAAAAUGGGACUUCAUCCCAUUUUCCAUUUUUAACGAUUUGGAGCUCGGAUUGAGGCGAAUUUUGGGAGAUUUUCAGAGAAAACAUCGGGGUAAGUGUUCGUAACUCAAUCUUGGUUAGAUUACCCGAAUCCAUCCCUGUUUUUAUUAUUUAAUUGGUGAUUUAAGUUUUAAAAAAAUUGAAAAAACCCUCUUGGAUAGAUUUGAGGAUUUGAGGGUCUAAUUUUUAUUGGAAUUUAGUCAUUUUGGUAUGGUUAGACUCGUGGUUGAAUGGGCGUUCAUAUUUCGUAACUUUCGCCGGAUUUCGAGAGCCAUUUUUGAGUUAAUUUCGGAUUUUUAUUAAAAAAUAUAGUAUUUUCUUAUAGAAUUAAUUCUAUAACUUUUGUUGACUGUAUCAAAUUAAUUAUGACUAGAUACGAGUCGACCGNNNNNNNNNNNNNNNNNNNNNNNNNNNNNNNNNNNNNNNNNNNNNNNNNNNNNNNNNNNNNNNNNNNNNNNNNNNNNNNNNNNNNNNNNNNNNNNNNNNNNNNNNNNNNNNNNNNNNNNNNNNNNNNNNNNNNNNNNNNNNNNNNNNNNNNNNNNNNNNNNNNNNNNNNNNNNNNNNNNNNNNNNNNNNNNNNNNNNNNNNNNNNNNNNNNNNNNNNNNNNNNNNNNNNNNNNNNNNNNNNNNNNNNNNNNNNNNNNNNNNNNNNNGUUGAAACUUAGUUUCUUUUAUUCUGUGCAUUAUUUGAAAUUAAUUUUCUUUAAAUUAAAUAUUAUUAAUAUGAAGUAUUUGAUAUUUUUAAAUUUGGUAUUGAAGCAACGUAUUAAAGAUUUUGAAAUAUUAUUUUGCUAAAUUAUUUAUUUUCGAAUAUUUUUGUAAGAUUUUUAUACUCAUUGUGAUGGAGACGUGAGCUCUUUAUUGUGGAAAACUAUUAUUGAUGAUUUAUGUUGGCAUGAUCCGUGAGCUCUUUAUUGUGAAAAAAUAUUGUUGUUGAUUUACUUUGGCAAAUUGAAAUAUUUGGGCACUUGAGGUGCAAAUUGUGAUAUGUUGUGAUAUUGAUACGCAUGCGGUGGUAUAAGGUCUGGAUAUUGAAACGCAUGCAGUGAGAUAAGGGUGGCUUGAUAUGCGUGGCUAGUAGGGGAAACUACUAGAAGUCAUACAGUGUGAUAAGGAUGGCUAAAACGCGGGAUGCUAUUUCGGGAAAAAUAUUUUCUUUAAAAUAAAUUGUGAAGGCUCCCGCGGUGAGAUAAGGAAAUGAGAUAUUGUGAAUUUAUUUAUGAUUUGGGACUACGAUGUAGUACCUCAGGAGUGCCCUUGUUGAUAUUGAUUUAUGGUCGUAGUUGUCGUUGAUUAUUUGUUGUGAUUUUCUUAAGUUGAAAGAAAAUUUUGGUGGUUUCUACGAGAUAUUAUUUGUCAUUAUUUUGUAUAAUUAAAUGAUGACUUGCUACUUGAUUCAUUUCUAUUAUCAUUUAUUUUAUUAUAUUGUUAAAUAUUUUUUCAUGUUAUUAUUAUUUUCCAGUAAGGCUUGACCUGACCUCGUCAAUAUUCUACCGAGGUUAGGCUUGGCACUUACUGGGUACCGCUGUGGUAUACUCAUACUACGCUUCUGCACAUCUUUUUGUGCAGAUCCAGGUACAUCUUAUUAGACUAGGCAUCAGUAAACUAGCUGUACGAGGAGACUUCGAGGUAUACCUGCCAGCGUCCGCAGACUCCGGAGUCCCCUUCUAUCUUACUAUGUUGCUUCUUUAUUUGUUUUAGACUCUGACAUAUAGAGACAGAGAAUAAAUUCUUAGAAGCUUGUGACUUAUUUCUACCGGGUUUUGGGUGUUGAAUUUGUUUGAAUUAUAGUUUAUUUAUUUCAGAUAUUUAUUAUUAUUCCGCAUUGAUAGGCUUACCUAGUCUUAGAGACUAGGUACCAUCACGACAUCCUACGGAGGGAAUUUGGGGUCGUGACACCGUGGCGUCCUGGCAAGCCUCCCAAUGCCCAGCGCCAUGGGCGGCCCUGUGGUCUCAACAGAGACAAGGGACAAGCGCGCAUGUGCCUCUGUCGCCUUACUGAUAGCCCUCGCCAGCGCCCAUCGGCUGGCAGAUGUCAACAAUGUCGCGCGCACAGACAAUGCCGCACGCAAAGACCAUGAUGAUGCCAACAGUGUCGCGCGCAGAGAUCCUGAUGCCUCGCCAGUGCCCAACCGCAGGCAGAUUACAACAGCAUCGCGCGCACAAACCAUGGUGCCAAGUGUCAGUGCCCAGCCGCAGGCAGACGCAAAUAGUGUCACGUGCACCGACAACACUGCGCGCGCAGACCCUAAUGCUAAAGAUAAAGUUGCUGCCAAUAGACUUGUUUCGACCUUGUAGUUUUACUUCAUUUACUUUUAGUGUGCUUCUACAGCUUAUAUAGGUCAAGUCAUGUAACUUUGGUUUAUUUUUUUAUUCAUUAUUAGGGGGGAUCAAGCAUUCAAACAUUCAAACAUUCAAGCAAGCAAAUAUUUCUCUGUACUGGUGUCUCUCCCCCUCGACAACGCGUAGCCUUUUGUAAUAGCUUCCAUUUAAUAAUGCAAUCAACUUUCAUUCUCAAUUGCUCCCUUCAAUUCUCUUCAUUGCUCGUGACAUUAGUUUUUAAUGUACGACACUGACAAUCCCGUCUAGCAUAUGGAGGGGACCUCAAUUGGCGGACAACAACCGCACUGACAUCAGUUGCUUAGCUUUACGUCUCCCUUCCAAGGAAACUCAGGAACGUACCAUAUAACAGUUUGUAUCAUAGCUUAGGCUCGACAUCGGACGAGGGAACAUAUUACCAUUACCACCAUUUCUGACCAUGGUGAAUUAUGGGGAUUGCAUCGCGACCCUUGAAGAGACGCUUGACGUAUUACGGCCCAUCGUGGAUACGGUACCUAAUCUAAGAACCAGCCUAGUGCAAAGGUUGGACGACCUGGACAACAGAAUGCGGCAAGCCGAAGUUGACAUAGCAAACAUCAGUUGCGACUCUAAGGGAGACCGGCAAACGGCAACCGUAGAGGUAGCCGAAAUUUAAGGCAAAUUUGAGGACCUCCAACAGGAGCGCGCCGAGGAUUUAGCCCUUAGGGAACUAGAGGCAGAUAGGGUGACUUCCAUGCAACAAACCAUAGAUAAACUUGACAGGCCAGCGCAGUGUUGUCAAUGUUGCCCAACAAGGCCUGCUUAGAGGAGACGAAAAUCGAAUCAGGGGUGUUGUGAACCUCGCCCCUGUGCCAUAAAAUCUAAAAUUUCUGGAGCCAAAGCCAUACAGCGAAGCUCGGGAUGCUAAAGAAGUAGAGAACUUUGUCUUUGACAUCGAAUAGUACUUCGAUGUCAUGGGGUAGUUAGAAGAAGCCAAAAAGGUAGCAAUUGAUGCCAUGUAUCUUCAGGGUGAUGCUAAACUCUAGUGGCGGGUGAAAUACGAAGCCAUCAGGUCCGGUGAAAAUACUCUCAAGACAUGGGCAGAACUGAAGGCAGCCAUAUGCCUGCAGUUCUUCCCCGAAAAUGUGGAAUACAAUGCACGGAGAAAGCUGCAGGAACUCCGCCAGACCAGGUCAGUACGGGAUUACGUGCGGGAAUUCUUCGCGCUUAUGCUAAACAUACGGGAUAUGGGGGACAAAGACAAACUCUUCAUAUUCAUAGAAUGUUUGAAACCUCAUGCUCGUAUGGAGCUGCAAAGACAAAGGGUAGAUACCCUGCCCAAGGCGAUUCAAGCUGCAGAAUGCCUUGGGGAUUGUCAGAUGGAAACUCAGAAGGAUAGGCCUCAACCGCCUAUCCAAGGGGGAUACAAUGGGAGCCAACCUAGCAAUGGUGGCCCUAGCAGAAAUGGAGGAGAUCAAAGUGCAACAAAAUCUAAGACUUCUUCCUCAAGCAGCAACAGUGCUGCAUUCGUCAACAACAAUCAGGGGAGAAAACCCCCUUCAGAAUGUCGUCAUUGUGGUGGGCAACAUUGGAAUAAUGAAUACCCACAUGCACAGAUCAACGUUCAUCAGACUGUUGAUGAUGGGUCAGAUGAUGACCUAGACGACACAGAGCAAGUAGGUGCCUUCAAUGCAAUUGUUGACUCCAUCCCUAAUACCCCAGCGGGAACCAGUGUUGGUAACCCUAAGAAGGACGCAUGCCCAAUCGCCAAGAAAGGGAAAAAGAAGGGGGAUGAGAGGCCUCCUACCACAUAAGAGAGUACCUUAAUGUUCGUCGAAAUAAAAGUAAACGGCAGACCAAUUCGGGCAAUGAUAGACACGGGUGCUACCCCCAACUACUUGGCCUCGACUCAAGUGGAGAGCCUCAAUCUAGUUGUGCAAAAGAGUAGGGGUCGUGUCAAGGCUAUCAACUCACCACCCCAGCCAGUGAGUGGAAUAGCCAAACAAGUGCCAAUGAAGUUUGGCCCAUACAAAGAAAGAUUCAACCUAUGCGUAGCAUUCAUAAAUGACUUCGAACUGAUAUUGGGAUUGGAAUUCCUGAGGUAAACCAACACCAUACCGAUACCUUAUGUCGACAUGCUCCUGAUGAUGGGAGAAAACGGGGACAAACCCCGCAUUAUACCAUGUAUACCCAUAAAGAUGGCCGCUGAAAACAUCUCAGCCAGGCAGUCGAAGAAGGGAGUCAAAAGACAUGAACCUAUGGUUUCGGCUACCCUCAGUAACAAGAAUCAAAAAUCAUAUAAUCGGCCUCAAAUGAAUGAUGACACCCCUCGGUGUGUGCAGACUUGUCAAGCAGUCCACAAGGACAAGUCGGACAGCUCGGCACAAGCGGGACUCUUGGAUCCACUACCUGUCCCAAAGAGACCUUGGGAAAGCAUUUCCCUGAAUUUCAUCACAGGAUUUCCCAAGGUCGGAAAUCUUGCAACUAUCUUGUUUGUAGUAGACCAGACUUCCAAGUAUGCCACCUUCAUAGCAGCCCCACAGAACAUAUUAGCAGAAAAUACAACUUGACUCUUCUUCUCUCAUAUUGUCAAAUAUUGGGGCCUGCCAAAGAUAAUGCUAGUGACCGCGACUUACGCUUCACUAGCAACUUUUGGACCCAUCUCUUUAGGUGCCUCGGGACAAAAUUGAGUCACAACUCAAGCUUUCAUCAACAACAAUCAAAUGGCUAGACAGAACAGUUCAAUGACAUGCUGGAGGAAUAUCUCCGCCACUUUACAACCGGAUCACAGAAGAAUUGGGUGAAGCUUUUGGAUGUUGCUUAACUAUGUUUCAAUUCACAAAAGAGAUCUAGUACAAACAAAACCACUUUUGAAAUUGUUACCAGAUAGCAACCGCUACUCCCACAAACUGUGAAUGCACCAAACAUGCCAAAAUCGCCUCGAGCUGCCAGCUUUUCAAAGGAAUGGGAGCGAAAUUUGGAGAUAGUGCAGAGCUAUCUUCUCAAAGCCCAAGAGAGGGCAAAGAGGUAUGCCGACCAAAACCUUCACUUUGUCCAAUAUCAAGCAGGAGACAAAGUGAUGGUAAGAAUCCCAAAGAGGUACUUGUUUGCAGAGAGAACCAAUGACCCUCGCCUAUUGCAAUAACACAUCGGACCAUUGUCCAUUAAAAGACGCAUUGGAAAAGCCACAUACCGGGUGAAUACCCCAGCAUGGUGAAUCAUCCACCCAGUCAUCCAUGUCAACCACCUCAAAUCAUUUCAGAAAGACAUGGAGCAUCAUUCACAAAGCCACCUCACAAGACCGAGGGGAACAAACCUCCAAGCCUACAAGAGCCUGAUCAAUUAUCACCUUGCAGGUAAGGCUCCAAGUACAUUGCCAACUUAGGUGGGGGAGAAUGUGAUGGGCUGCUUUCCAGCCAUGCCCCAUGACCCCUUGGACGCUCCCCAUGGCAUCCUGGCAAGCCUCCCAACACCCAGUUCUACGGUCAGCCCCGUGGUCUCGGCAGCGCCAAGUGACAAGCGCGCAUGUGCCUCUGUCGCCCCACCGAUAGCCCUCGCCAGCGCCCAUCGGCUAGCAAAUGCCAACAGUGCCGCGCGCACAGAUCCUAAUGCCUCGCCAACGCCCAACCGUAUGCAGAUUCCAACAGCGUCGCGCACAUAAACAAUGUCGUGUGCGCAAACCUUGAUGCCAAGUGCCAGUGCCAGCCGCAGGCAGAUGCAAACAGCACCGCGCGUGCCGACAGCAUUGCACGCGCAGACCCUGAUGCUAAAGAUAAAGUUGCCGCCAACGGACUUGUUUCUACCUUGUAGAAGACUAAGUCUUUUUCAUUAUAAAUAUAGAGUAGUUUUACUUCAUUUACUUUCAGUGUUCUUCUAAAGCUUAUAUAGGUCAAGUCAUCUAACUUUGGUUUAUUUUUGUUUAAGCAUUAUUAGGGGAGAUCAAGCAUUCAAACAUUCAAGCAAGCAAAUAUUUCUCUGUACUGGCGUCUCUCCCCCUCAACACUGCGUAGCAUUUUGUAAUAGCUUUCAUUCAUUAAUGCAAUCAGCUUUCAUUCUCAAUUGCUCAUGAUAUUGGUUUUUCUCGUACGACACUGACAAUCUCAUCUAGCGUACGGAGGGGACCUCAAUUGGCGGACAUCAACCACACUGAUAUCGGUUGCUUAGCUUUACGUCGCCCUUCCAAAGAAUCUCAGGAAGGCGCCGCGUAACAAUAAUAAUGAUGCCAGUAACUUCACAUCUGCACUCAAAACCAUCGCGUCCGUAAUACCACUUCUAUAAGCCCAUACUCGCAUUUGCGAGCUUCACUUCACUCACUAACCUUCGCUUCUGUGAUGAACAGUCUGCUUUUGCAGCGCCGCUGAUGCGCCCAAAUGCUCACAGGAGUGAAUGCGCUUCUGCGCAACUUUGUCCGCACAUGCAGACUCCCAAGCCCAGGACAAACUCCGCUUUUGUGCCCUCAACUCUGCUUCUAUGCCUGCGCAGAUGCGCUACAUGAGUCGCUUAUACAACCUCGCACCUGUGCAAUAUGCACAACAGGUGCAAUACACAAUAACCAACUGACCCAUAUAAUCACCAAAAUGGUCUGGAAUCAAUCCGAAACACCCCCUAACCCCCAUCCAAUGAAACCAACAAGUCCAAAUACCUUACUCAAACUUAUUCCAAGGCUUCAACCAUAAAAAACAAUGACAAAAUCAAGAAUCAAAGAUCAAAAUCCUUAUCAAAACUUUUAAAUAUUCCAACUUCACCGAACGCAUCCGAAUAUCACUUAGACAUUCCGGAACACGACCAAACUUUACACACAAGUCCCAAUCAACCAAAUUAACCUAUCCAAAGUCCCAAAACAUUAAUCAGGAUAUGAUAAUACCAAAGUCAACUUCCGGUCAAACCUAUAACUCUCCAAUCCUUCAAAUUGCCAACUUUGGCAAAUAGAGUCAAAACCUUCUAGUAACCUCCAAAUUCGAACAUACGCCCAAGUCCAAAACUACCAUAUGAACCUAUUGCAAUCAUAAAAUUUCGAUUCCGAGGUUGUCUACUCAAAAGUCAAAUCUUGAUAAACUUUUCCAACUUAAAGCUUCCAAAUUGAGAAUCACUCUUUUAAAUCAAUCUCGAACCUCUCGAAAGUCAAAACCAACCACACACGCGAGUCAUAAUGCAUUAUAUGAAGCUACUCAAGGCCUUAAACCCCUGAACAAAAUGCUAGAGCUCAAAAAGAUCGAUCGGGUCAGUAUACCAAUACCCUAAGUAAUUUUGAAGUUCUUAAUAACAUAUGCUAAACCUUCACACAACAUAUACUUGUAUUUGUUUACUUGGUUCAUUCUAAUUAUAACAUGCACCAAGUUAUAAGAAAAUCAGUAAGUGUUUUCAAGAUUAAAACUACAAAAUGCAUAUAAAAAUGAAUAAGAAAUAUGUAUUACCUCUUUAUCUACAAAGAUUAUGUCUGAACAAAUCAACUCUUUAUUUCUCUUGAGAUUAGUAGAAUUUCACAUCCUACAAAAAGAACAUUGAAAAAAAAAAGAACACGCCGAAUUUUAUAAAAAAUUUAGUAUAGGAAAAUAGCAUAUUAGUUUUAAAAAAAUGUCAAAAGUUACUUAAAGACAAUGAAGACAUCAUGUAUUUGCAAGGAUGCCAUGACAGACUUAUUNCAAGCAUNNNNNNNNNNNNNNNNNAAACGAUAUAUAUAUAUAUAUAUAUAUAUAUAUAUAUAUGGAUUGUUGUGGGUUAAAGAGUUUUUCCAAAUAAAGUGACAAGUUUUUGAUAGGGAUUAUUUUAUUUACAGAGUCGCCACUUGGAAUUGAGUUUUUGGGUGUUCCAAGUCACCUUUUAUUUGAAUCCCUAUUCAAAUAAAGAUUUGACUCUUUUAUUAUUGGUUUGCAAAAACAAAGUUCAGGUAAGGAAUUCUGUUGACCGGGGAGAAGGUGUAAGGUAUUUUCCGAGUCCCGUAGUUCUAGCACGGUCGCUUUAUUGACUACAACUUAGCUUGAAUUAAUUUUGGACGAACUGUGAUUUAUUGGCUUUCAAAUUUUAUCUAUCCGCUUUUAUUGCUUGAUUAUUCGUAAUUAUGGAAUUAUCUUGAAAUAAAAUGAUACAUAUGUGUAUUCAUUUUGUUUGGUAUGUCAAAGUCAUGCCACGCAUACAUGUACACAAUUAAUAACAUUUAUUAUUUAUUAGAUUAUUUUAUCAAAAUCACGCGAACACGUAACUUGAUUUAUUUUUGGGACCAUAAUUAUGUCACGCGAACUUAUACAUAAUCACAAUGGUAGAUUUGUUACGAGCGUGUCUAAAGGCAUAGUAGUGAUUUUUGUAGUAAUUCGGCGUUCUUGGUUAUUGAGGAAACAUGCCAGCGUUCAACUAAAGCCUAAGGAGCAAUACAACUUAUUUCAAACCCAAACCUACUCCUAUCCCAAGCUUACAUUAGAUUUUCUAAUACCAGUGGCCUAUUCGUUCGGCCCAAAUCCUUUACCAACUAAUCUACUCAUCUUCUAUGUUGUUUUUCUUUUUUCUUUUUGGUUUAGAUCUAAUAAAUAAACAAUAUUACUAUUACUACACAUAACAUAAGAUUCAUAAAACUAAACAAUAUAAAACUAUUGAACAGAUUCAUGAUUUUAAACACACUUGCCACUACAUAAAAAAACAAGAAUAUCACCUAAAUUAAAAUCAUAAUGCAAAUAAAAUUUCAGUAAGUAUCAUUGAACUAGGAAGCAGAAAUGUUAAAAGAGAAAAACAAAUAACCUUGUAUUAGAUGAAGACUCCAAUUUGACGUACAUUAAGCAAGAAUUUGUCCAAAAGCAAAAGAAAGAAAACAGUAUAUGGACCGAAAAAUUUCUCCGAAAAUCCUCAAUGAACUCAAACAGGAAACCUCGCCAAUGACGGAAAUCUUGAACGCCCAGAAAAUGCCACUGUUUUAGGUGAAAAGAGGCUGUUUUAAUGGCUGAUUUUUGGUCCCUCUUGUGGUUGUUCGGCAGCAACGAUGCAACUAUUUUUUGGUGGUUUUAGGUUAUUUUAAUGGAGUUUUACAUGAUUUUAGGAUUGUUUUUCAGAUCUCCUUUUGGCUGGCAUCUUGGUAGUAUUUAUUGGAAGAGAUGAGGUGAGGAAGAUGAGUGUAUGAUUAGGAAGAAAAGAGGAAAAUAUCUCCCCUUUUUUCGUGUGUCCCCCUUUUUCCUUCUCCCUAUCCUAUGUGAGAUGAGUCUCUUU
This 16211-nucleotide long non-coding RNA is filed under the name Nicotiana tabacum (common tobacco). RNAcentral's name for it is "long non-coding RNA (NTAB_LNC002413)". The record is from RNAcentral. Lineage: Eukaryota; Viridiplantae; Streptophyta; Magnoliopsida; Solanales; Solanaceae.